Molecule: ribosomal RNA, 916 nt
Filed under: uncultured Eubacteriales bacterium
Lineage: Bacteria; Bacillati; Bacillota; Clostridia; Eubacteriales
Description: bacterial SSU rRNA
Rfam family: Bacterial small subunit ribosomal RNA
Source: RNAcentral
UCAUGGCUCAGGAUAAACGCUGGCGGCGCACAUAAGACAUGCAAGUCGAACGGAAGUCGUUAUAAUUGAUUUUGAGUGAAAGAUUUAUCCGGAACGAUGAUGAUUUUAUAACAAUGGCUUUAGUGGCGGACUGGUGAGUAACGCGUAAGCAAUCUGCCUAUCAGAGGGGAAUAACAGUGAGAAAUCAUUGCUAAUACCGCAUAUGCCAUGAACAUCGCAUGAUGAAAAUGGGAAAGGAGUAAUCCGCUGAUAGAUGAGCUUGCGUCUGAUUAACUAGUUGGUGGGGCAACGGCCUACCAAGGUGACGAUCAGUAGCCGGACUGAGAGGUUGAACGGCCACAUUGGGACUGAGAUACGGCCCAGACUCCUACGGGAGGCAGCAGUCGGGAAUAUUGCGCAAUGGAGGAAACUCUGACGCAGUGACGCCGCGUAUAGGAUGAAGGUUUUCGGAUUGUAAACUAUUGUCGUUAGGGAAGAUAAAAGACAGUACCUAAGGAGGAAGCUCCGGCUAACUACGUGCCAGCAGCCGCGGUAAUACGUAGGGAGCAAGCGUUAUCCGGAUUUAUUGGGUGUAAAGGGUGCGUAGACGGGAAAUUAAGUUAGUUGUGAAAUCCCUCGGCUCAACUGAGGAACUGCAACUAAAACUGGUUUUCUUGAGUGCAGGAGAGGAAAGAGGAAUUCCUAGUGUAGCGGUGAAAUGCGUAGAUAUUAGGAGGAACACCAGUGGCGAAGGCGUCUUUCUGGACUGUAACUGACGUUGAGGCACGAAAGUGUGGGGAGCAAACAGGAUUAGAUACCCUGGUAGUCCACACCGUAAACGAUGGAUACUAGUGUAGGAUGUGUUAAACAUUCUGUGCCGUCGCAAACGCAAUAAGUAUCCCACCUGGGGAGUACGGGCCGCAAGGUUGAAACUCAA